CCUACGGGGGGCAGCAGUGAGGAAUAUUGGUCAAUGGACGAGAGUCUGAACCAGCCAAGUAGCGUGAAGGAUGACUGCCCUAUGGGUUGUAAACUUCUUUUAUAUGGGAAUAAAAUGUUCCACGUGUGGGAUUUUGUAUGUACCAUAUGAAUAAGGAUCGGCUAACUCCGUGCCAGCAGCCGCGGUAAUACGGAGGAUCCGAGCGUUAUCCGGAUUUAUUGGGUUUAAAGGGAGCGUAGGUGGAUUGUUAAGUCAGUUGUGAAAGUUCGCGGCUCAACCGUAAAAUUGCAGUUGAAACUGGCAGUCUUGAGUACAGUAGAGGUGGGCGGAAUUCGUGGUGUAGCGGUGAAAUGCUUAGAUAUCACGAAGAACUCCGAUUGCGAAGGCAGUUCACUGGACUGCAACUGACACUGAGGCUCGAAAGUGUGGGUAUCAAACAGGAUUAGAUACCCUUGUAGUC
RNAcentral lists this ribosomal RNA (460 nucleotides) under uncultured bacterium. Its description in RNAcentral is "partial 16S ribosomal RNA". It matches the Rfam family "Bacterial small subunit ribosomal RNA", at positions 338 to 795 of the family's 1533-position model. The record is from RNAcentral.